UUGCAGGUCAAAGUAAACUGCCUGACUUCAAGAACAAAGCUCAGGGACGAUGGAUCUAAAGAGACAAAUUCUCAAGUCAAUGAACUGAACUCAAACAGCCUUGAUGGGGACUUCAAGUCAGAUAGGUCUGGAAGCACAUUCACAGAGAACGCUGCCCCUUCCUCUAACAAAGAACUCAGGUCAACCUUGUGCUCCGAUCAUCUUGCAAGUAGGGAAACAAGUCUUUCGUCCUUUGCUUCUACUCAGAGCUUCGGCUCUGCGGAAAAUUCCUCGCACAGAGAAGACCGUUCACCUGAAAAUCAAUUGAGAGUUGACAGGCAUGACCAGAGAAUUGGAGAGACUUCAGUCAGGUCCCCAGAGUAGACGGUGGCAAUCUGAUCAAUAGCUCUUCUCACUUGAAACCUCCGUUCUCUAAUUCACAGAUUAUGGGUUCGGGUGAUCCGUCACAGAGUAAUAAGGAAAUGUUAUCUGUGAAGAUUUCUGACUCCUCUAAAGAUUUCAUUGAAGCUGCAGAAGACACAAUAGAAGAGCUUCAUGCGGAGGCUAAAAUGUGGGAGCGAAAUGCGCAAAAGCUAAUGCUCGAUCUGGAUAUGGUGAGAAAGGAGUUCUUUAAUCUGUCCAAGAAUCACAAGGAUCUGGAUAUGGAGUUCUUGGCGGCUAAGACGGAACGGGAGAGCUUAAGAAAAGAAGUCGAACAACUAAAGCUGCUGCUCAAGAACUCACAAGUGGACCAAAAGACCGUGGAUGAUUCAAAUUCCCAA
Eucalyptus grandis is the source of this 761-nucleotide long non-coding RNA. RefSeq lists it as uncharacterized. The transcript has 3 exons. NCBI's taxonomy places the organism in Eukaryota, Viridiplantae, Streptophyta, Magnoliopsida, Myrtales, Myrtaceae. The record is from RefSeq and is a predicted model, not a curated record.